GAGUAAUAUCUGGGAAUCUACCCAAAAGAGGGGGAUAACUACUAGAAAUGGUAGCUAAUACCGCAUAAAGUUGAGAAACCAAAGUGGGGGACCUUUUAGGCCUCAUGCUUUUGGAUGAGCCCAGACGAGAUUAGCUUGUUGGUAAGGUAAAAGCUUACCAAGGCUUCGAUCUCUAGCUGGUCUGAGAGGAUAACCAGCCACACUGGAACUGAGACACGGUCCAGACUCCUACGGGAGGCAGCAGUGGGGAAUAUUGCACAAUGGGCGAAAGCCUGAUGCAGCUAUGCCGCGUGUAUGAAGAAGGCCUUAGGGUUGUAAAGUACUUUCAGCGGGGAG
RNAcentral lists this ribosomal RNA (336 nucleotides) under uncultured Buchnera sp. Its description in RNAcentral is "bacterial SSU rRNA". It matches the Rfam family "Bacterial small subunit ribosomal RNA", at positions 108 to 446 of the family's 1533-position model. The record is from RNAcentral. Lineage: Bacteria; Pseudomonadati; Pseudomonadota; Gammaproteobacteria; Enterobacterales; Erwiniaceae.